This is a transfer RNA of 85 nucleotides. It matches the Rfam family "tRNA". Rfam says of the family: Transfer RNA (tRNA) molecules are approximately 80 nucleotides in length. Their secondary structure includes four short double-helical elements and three loops (D, anti-codon, and T loops). The record is from Rfam.
GGGCAAUUAGCUCAGUUGGUAGAGCGUUCGCUUUGCAUUUACACCCGCAUGCGAAAGGUCGUGAUUUCGAUUAUCACAUUGUCCA